Molecule: ribosomal RNA, 918 nt
Filed under: uncultured bacterium
Lineage: Bacteria
Description: bacterial SSU rRNA
Rfam family: Bacterial small subunit ribosomal RNA
Source: RNAcentral
UAUUCCCAAUUCGCCCUUAUAGUUGGAUCCUGGCUCAGGACGAACGCUGGCGGCGUGCCUAACACAUGCAAGUCGAACGAGGUCCAUGCAGUGGCAACACUGCGGAAGACCUAGUGGCGAACGGGUGAGUAACACGUGAGGAACUUGCCCCGGAGACCGGGAUAACCCUCCGAAAGGAGAGCUAAUACCGGAUGUCCUCACCGAGUCGCAUGGCUUGGUGAGGAAAUGGAUUCCGCUCCGGGAGAGCCUCGCGGCCUAUCAGCUAGUUGGUGGGGUAACGGCCCACCAAGGCGUCGACGGGUAGCUGGUCUGAGAGGACGAUCAGCCACACUGGGACUGAGACACGGCCCAGACUCCUACGGGAGGCAGCAGUGGGGAAUCUUGCGCAAUGGGCGAAAGCCUGACGCAGCAACGCCGCGUGCGGGAUGAAGGUCCUCGGGUUGUAAACCGCUUUCAGUGGGGACGAACCAAGACGGUACCCACAGAAGAAGCCCCGGCCAACUACGUGCCAGCAGCCGCGGUAACACGUAGGGGGCAAGCGUUGUCCGGAUUCAUUGGGCGUAAAGAGCUCGUAGGCGGUUCGAUAAGUCGGGUGUGAAACCUCCAGGCUCAACCUGGAGACGCCACCCGAUACUGUCGUGACUAGAGUCCAGUAGGGGAGCGUGGAAUUCCUGGUGUAGCGGUGAAAUGCGCAGAUAUCAGGAGGAACACCAGCAGCGAAGGCGGCGCUCUGGGCUGGAACUGACGCUGAGGAGCGAAAGCGUGGGGAGCGAACAGGAUUAGAUACCCUGGUAGUCCACGCCGUAAACGUUGGGUACUAGGUGUGGGGUCUUAUCAACGGAUUCCGUGCCGAAGCUAACGCAUUAAGUACCCCGCCUGGGGAGCCCGGCCGCAAGGCUAAAACCCAUAAGAACUGAC